AUGGCGACAAUGCGAGGAUUACGCCAUUCUUGAGACAAUGUAGAAGAAGGAAGUACUUUUUUGCAAGGGCAAACGAGAAAGGUAAAGAGGAAUUGACGAUUUUUUCCAACAGGGCAAUGUCUAGGGCUUGGAGAUGACGGUUGCAUAAAGGUCAAGUUGGAAGAGCAAAAGAGGAUAACUUAAGGGAAUAGUUUAGUAAGGUAGGGGCAAAAUAGGUAUUUUAAUUAGUUUUUAACUCUGAUAGAUAUUUAACCCAUGUUUAACCCUAGAUAAUAUAACAGAGGUAACUGCGGGGGUAUUUUGAAAUAACGGUGGAACAUACAAGGGGUAUCUUAGAAAGAAAAAAAAAAAUAGGGAUAAAUUGGAUAUUUUCGAAGUUAUGAGGGGUAUAUAGGCAAUUAUCCCUAAUAUAAAAAUAUCUGUUAUUCUAUUGAUUUGGUACCACAGAUGAGAGAGAAUAUGGGGUGUAUUGUGUGCUAUGAUUUUUGUGAGAGAGACGUCCUUUUGUACUCCACUUUCAUUAUAAUUAAAGUCCAUUGUCAUGGACUUAGUGAUUUUGUUUGCAAAAGCUUGUGUGGCUCCCGCUC
Molecule: long non-coding RNA, 587 nt
Filed under: Ananas comosus (pineapple)
Lineage: Eukaryota; Viridiplantae; Streptophyta; Magnoliopsida; Poales; Bromeliaceae
Description: long non-coding RNA (ACOM_LNC024032)
Source: RNAcentral